This 388-nucleotide long non-coding RNA is filed under the name Mus spicilegus (steppe mouse). Its description in RNAcentral is "lncRNA (ENSMSIG00000015581.1)". The record is from RNAcentral. Lineage: Eukaryota; Metazoa; Chordata; Mammalia; Rodentia; Muridae.
AUUUUCUCUGUGGUCUUUCCCAUUGGACGUUGUUUUUACUGACUUAACUAUCUUCACAGCUUGGGCCAUUGCCUUUCUUUAAACAGAUAUAAAAAUCCAACUCCAGCCCAUGCUUCAGGAGUCCCCCAGACUCAUCCUUCCUUCCAUGGUCCAGGGCGAGGAGGAGUGGAGGGCACACAUCUCCUGGGGGAAUCUGGCUUGCUCCAGUGGUGUGAGCCGUGUACUGGCCUGCCAAGUUUGAUGGGAAAGCUUAGAGACUGUUUCCACGUGCAAGUUUACAACACAAAGGAUUAGUUGCAGUGGUGGGAGGCCUUGUGGCCAGGUGAGGAUGGAUUCUGGUGGAGGCUUUUAAAUUCUUCAGAUGAAAUCCAGAGAUGUUCCCUCGGGG